This is a long non-coding RNA of Phasianus colchicus (ring-necked pheasant), 313 nucleotides long. RefSeq lists it as uncharacterized. NCBI's taxonomy places the organism in Eukaryota, Metazoa, Chordata, Aves, Galliformes, Phasianidae. The record is from RefSeq and is a predicted model, not a curated record.
CUGCCAGGCAGACUGUGCUUUGGCCUCAGAUGGCCGGCUGCCUGGCCUGGGCUUUUUCAGUCUGUAGGAGCAUUCUGCAAAGCAGAGCAGGCAGGACGUGGACGUUGGGAGGAAAAAAAGGAGAAAAGAAGCAGAGGAUGAGAAGAGAGCUGGCUACCUGGGCUGCUGCUGCGAUGGGACUGUGCUAGAGCUUUUCAGAAGGUUGGUUUCCCCACUGCUGUUCUGGUUCUGCUGCUCACGUAGUUCCUUUGGAGACUACAGUAACUGUGUAAAAUGGUGGUCUCUAAAAUAGCUGAUAAAAUAAAUUUUCUUA